RNAcentral lists this ribosomal RNA (320 nucleotides) under uncultured eukaryote. RNAcentral's name for it is "partial 18S ribosomal RNA". It matches the Rfam family "Eukaryotic small subunit ribosomal RNA", at positions 1470 to 1796 of the family's 1831-position model. The record is from RNAcentral.
CCCUUAGAUGUUCUGGGCUGCACGCGCGCGACAAUGACGUUUGCAACGAGAUUGCGAGGCCGUCAGGUCGAGCUGAUCUUGCAAGCUGCGUCGUGAUAGGGACAGUCGAUUGCAAUUAUUCGACUCGAACGAGGAAUUCCUUGUAAUCGCGCAUCAUCAGUGCGCGCUGAAUACGUCCCUGCCCUUUGUACACACCGCCCGUCGCUCCUACCGAUUGAGUGCUCAGGUGAGCCAUUCGGACUUUCAUCAUGCUGGUUUCCAGUUUUGAUGAAGGAAAGUCUUGCGAACCUUAUCAUUUAGAGGAAGGAGAAGUCGUAACA